GGUGGAGCGUCAACCAGCCACGGCGCUUCCGCUGGACCACCCGGACGCAGUGGAAGGGUCCUCGCGGAGGGGGUCCUGCAAUCGCAGGAAGAAAUCAUCAGGGGGAUCGCGGGGAUCAACGAGCAGCUGGACCGGCUCGUAAAUGUCCUCGAGCGUCUGGUGGCGAAAAUAAAUUUCACUUCUUACCCAUUCACACUGUGGGGAUGAGAUUCUCCUGCGCGAGGACGGCGGCCCGGCAGGGAUCAGCUCGCAUCCCUCCGUCUGCUGCUGGUUCGUCAUGUGGGGCGACGUGCUGCUCGGCCACGGGGAUGUGGUGCACGCUUGUCACAUAGUGAGUCACCAAACACCGCCACACAGCGUCGCCAAAGUGCGAAUCACAGUCAACGCAAGUAUCGGCUCAACGCCAAUUUCUACACCACCUCCUGACUUUGCGUUGAUUAGCGCUGGAACCGACGCUCGUUUCGCGAUGAUAAAUCUGGACGUGUGCGCUGAUUUUGGCGUACGCAAGGUUUUCUUGCGCCGCAAGCGUUGAUACAUGAGACCCCAGAACAGCUUUUACAACCAUGACAUCCUAUAAAAAUAAAUGAUGCUUUCAGAGAUUUUUAUUUAAAAAAUUAUAUGGUACAACUAACACUAUUAAUAUACAAAAUAUGAAUAGAUUUUUGGAUGAAUUACCUAUUCCUUGCACCCCAGAUGAAUAUAAAGAAGACUUAGAUACAGAUAUCACCAAAGAAGAAAUCAGUAACGCCAUAGAUAAUUUGAAAUCAGGAAAAAGAGUAGGACCAGGCGGUCUCCCAUUUGACUUGUACAAAAAAUUCAAAAACACACUACUAGCACCACUCUUAGAAAUGUUUCUUGAAGCAUCUCAGACUGGCAGUCUUCCAUCCUCAAUGAAUAAUGCUCUAACUACUUUACUGCCAAAACCAGGCAAAACCCUUAAUAAGUGCGAGAAUUUGAGACCAAUAAGCCUGCUAAAUUUGGACCUUAAAAUAAUAUGUAAGCUUCUAGCAAUUAGAUUACAGAGAAUUCUGCCAAAAAUUGUAAACAAGGACCAAAAUGGAUUCAUAUCAGAAAGACAAGGUUUCCAUAAUGUCAGAAGAAUAUUGAAUAUCAUUCACUGUAAUUAAGAUCAACCAGAUACAGCCCUAUUAGCGUUGGAUGCCAAAAAGGCCUUUAAUAGGGUCAAAUGGCCUUAUCUUUUCAAUGUUUUAGAAAGAUUUGGUUGUGGAGAUAUCUUUAUUCAAUGGGUGCAGGCCAUAUACAAUAACUCUACAGCAGAAAUUCUAAUGAACCAAAAUAUUUCAAAAUCAAUAGAUAUUAACAAAGAAUGCCGACAGGGCUGCCCUCUUUUGCCUUUGUUAUUCACAUUAGCAAUAGAACCGUUUGCUAUAGAAGUACGUUCUCAUCCACAGUUUUGCAGACUUACAGUAGGACCAGUAGAGCACAGAAUUGCCCUGUAAUGCAGACAAUGUAAUUUUACUUCCAGUCCAGCUUACUCCAAAUUGGAGUAAAUUGAGAUAAUUUACUCCAAUUUGGGGUAAUCAGUUUUUGUACCAGGAAGGGGAGAUGCAACAUUUAAAUUAUGGUUAACUAAGGGACUUGAAACGAUUCAAGAUCUGUACACAACAAACUCAGACAUGAUGUCCUUUGAUGAACUAAGAGCUAAAUAUCACCUCAAUAGAAAACAUUUCUUUAAGUACCUUUAGCUUAGAAAUCAUGUUAAAACAGACCAAAACAAUGUACUUUCUAAACCUUGUCGCACAGAACUAGAAAAAAUUGUAACAAAGAAUUGUCUAAGAAAGGAUGCAAUAUAAGAACUCUACGACUAGUGAUGGGAAGAACAGUUCCUUUGACUGUACUGAAUCUUUAGAAUCCUUUCAUUAAAACGAUUCGAUCAACGAGUCGUUCACUGACUCAGUCAGUGUGCCCCGUCCUGCCGGUGCAUUACACGAGUGAGUGACACAGCCGCAAGUCUGUUCAUUCAACGAGCCCCUCCCUUCCCCUGCUGCUGAAGUCACAGCGUCGUUCACUGGGUGACACGUGGUUUAUUCGCAAAGUCCUGAAGUAAGAGUCACUCCCCUGCCCUGAAAACUCAAAACAAAUGAACAUCGCAGCUGUAGCGGGGAUUCUGCUACAUUUAAAGAUAUCAAAUAGCAUAUUGCUUUAAAUUGGCUGAAAUUAAAUCCUUCUUGCAGGAAAGUUUAUACACGUCUAUUAAUGUAAAGGCACUAUAAUGACCUGUUUUAUCCAUAGACUGUAUAUAAGAUGGACGCCGUCUGUCUCCUCGCCGGGUGAAGCCACUCCGAGAACAGCACCCCCUAGAGCCUGGCUGCAGUACAAGUCAUAAACCCCACUUCUGCCAGCAAAGUGAAUGGAGCGGCGGACGGCCUUUAGAAAUUAAUUUCACAGAAAAUACACUUUUCUCACCCCCGACUGCGAUGUUGACAUGUAGUUAUUAUUAGACUGGUUUGUGUUCAGGUCUUUUUUUCUCUCUGCAGCUCCAUUUUAAAAAGUUAUAAGGAGUUAUAAAAACAGGAAAUUGCGUCAUUCUCUACACUUUGCACUUGCUGCUUGUGCAUCGCUCUUUUUUGUCCAUCGUCAAGACCGAUCGGGUUUGCCAGCGGAGAAGAGGAUUACAUUUUUCCAUCGUUUUUCUCUUUUAUUGCAUUGGGAAAAUGAGUUGUUCUGCAGUAAACUGUGUUAACCGACAUGUGAAAUCGGGAACUUUGCAGUUGUUUCGGUAAGUUGUGUUUUUUUUAUGAAGUCAUCAGCUUGCUAGCUACAUAACAUUAAACGGUCUGGUUUAAUUUAGCUAAUGGGGUUUACUUACAGAUACCAAGCGGUAAGUUCUGUGCAGCUAAUAAGCGUUUUUAUUAGAAGUUAAACAAUGAGGAAACCCCUUAAAAUCCGCCUUCUUUUUAUAACAAUAUUAUGACUACGUGACUUUGAAUUUGAAUUAAAAACCGUACCGAUCACACAGAUUCAUACUAGCAACCAAAUACUACCACAGAGUAUCAGGGCAUGAAAUGAAAACUCGAGGCAUGAAGUCAUAAUGUUAAAGGAAUUAAUUCGCAUUUAAGUCAUUCCCCUAAUAUUGCAUCACUUUAUGAGAACAAGGCCAUGUAAAUGAAUAUAAUGAGAGUCAUGAUGUUAUGAGUCGAAGUUUUGGUAAUGGAUCAACCAGUUUUACUCGGGUAUGUUACAACGAGAGCAGCCUGCGCUAAAAUCAGGUAUGGUUUAAUUAAAAGGCAUCUUUCGGAUGCACCGUCCUAGCUUUCUGGCAGAGGAUUGACCGCCGGUUCAGUCUCCUCCGUACAGCGGCAGUAGUAUUACAGCUUCUGGUGACAUACGAUAUUUGUCUAAGAUAAAGCUCUGAAACUGUCUUUAAUGGGACAAAACGUCGAGAAAACGAGACCCUAUAAGUGUAUAGAAGGACAUGCUCAAAAGAUUACUUAUACAAGUUGCAUAACUGUUAUUUAUUUUAUGCUAUCAAAUAACAUACAUAAGUCAUAAGUAUACUUAUGUGGAAUGACAAUUAUCAUUUACAGCAGCAUGGUAGAUCAUGUCUUACUUAAGUUUUCAAGAUAGAUAGAUAGAUAGAUAGAUAGAUAGCCCUGUUACUUAUGAGAUUGAGAUAAAACUAUGUUUAAUGUAAUUAGUUAUGGAAAGACAGCUGCAUAUGACACACUUAAUCAAUCACAAUGACAUUAAAAUUUUUGUUACAUGCAAAGAAAUCCCUCAAUUUUGAUAGGAUGUUCAUAAGACAUAUCACUCACAAGAUGAAAUGAUUUAGAUUAUUUAUACAGUUUGUAUAUUCAUUCACUUGAGGUAUUUUUUGUGAUUGUCUUUGAAUUGAGUUUUGGCUUCAGCCUGUUAUGCAACAAAGCAAGAAUUAAACUGAACGCAAAACAUUAACUUUGUGUUGUUUACAAACUUGACAAAUGGCAGUAAGCAAUGUUAUUGUAUUUUUGUAAAGUUUUCCUUUAGGUGACAAAGCGAGGCUGAAGCAGUGGCUGGUGAACACAAGACGGCAGGACUGGAAACCAACAGGAUCAUCACGUCUUUGCAGUGCUCAUUUUGAAGAGCAUGCCUUUACUGUGGACUCAAAGGUUAAAUUAUUUCCUUUUUACUGGACAGCAAUUUUUAUGAAGUUCACAUUUGCAACAAUUUAUUGUCAAAUUGACUAACACUUUGAAUCAUAAAAUGGCGGUUAUUUAAACAUUCCCAAGAGCUGAACACUACAACUAUCGUGGUUCCAUUUUAAAUUACUGCUGUUUUUAUGUUUUCUAAAAUUAGGUAUUUGCAUGUAGUUGUAGUGUCAUUAUUAGUUAGUGUCAUCAGUCAUUUUCAGUUUAAGUUGGCGCAGCCUGGAGUAAAAAAAAACAGGAAUCAUGUUGCAAAAAAAAUUUGAGUGAUACCACAUGAACAACUUCUUUUGCUUAGACCAAAUGUGCCCUGUUAGAUAAAGGUAACAGCACUAGCCAAGUAGUAGUCUCUAAGAAUGCUAACUAAAUGAAACCUUUUAAAUAAUUGGACUAGUAUAUCAAAACCUCUAAAGUUUUCAUGCUGAGCUACCACCUGGUUUGAGACAUAAGUGUCUUAAUGAAUUUAAGUACUGGUAUUCACAAUUUAAUUGAUGAAUUUCUUUGUGUUUUUCAGACUUCAUCACCAACCACUGAUGAUAUGGUGGAUUCAUCUGCUGCAGCCUGUUUCCUUUCCACCCAAUGCAACUCCCAAAGUACUAGAUUACAUCUUUUUAAGUUCCUGGUAAAAUAACAAACAUACAGGUUUUCUGCAAAGGAGUUAAGUAUUUAUAAAUCACAAAUAAAUACUAAAAUGCUAGUGUCCUCUCACAAGUGUCCAUGUCAUGCUAUCUGAUUUACAUGCUGUUCACUACACAUAUUGUCAGUUUGUUUUUUCAGUUUUACCACACUUUGUCCACUUCAUGGUGAGGACUCGCACACAGAAAAAUGGAAAAGACAAAUGUCUUGAAAAGUUGGAUCCAUUUUAUUGCUAGGAAUAAAAUGGAUCCAACUUUUUUUGAGACAUUUGUCUUUUCCAUCUUUCUGUGUGUUCGUCCUUUACAGCCUUUUUGAAUAGUCUUAUCUGACCAUUGCACCAGAAGCAAGAAUACUAGGACUGAUGUUAAGCUCUUUUCUUGUUAAUCACUUGAUGAUGAGUACAUAAGAAAUGCAUUGACUUUGUUAUGGUAUGUUUUUUUCUUUUGAUAGCUUUACAUGAAAAAUAAAAAUUUGAGACAAAUUCUCUGGAAUAAUAAAGCAUAUACUGUGUUUUUUCAUCUGUGCUGUAAAUCAGAAAACUUUAUCAUGGUACAACAAAUCACAGAAAAGCAUGUGAAGUUUCAACAUUAAUUUAAUUUUUCUAACAAUAAAAAACAUCCCCAGCUACAUUCGUCGUGGGGAAAACGCCUUGAGGAAGACCAUCGGGUGGAAUGGCUGGGGUACGGCAGAAAGUUUGUAGGACAGAGAGAGAGAGAGAAGGAGGAAGAGCUGUGACAGAAUUGAACAAUGUGAUGGUUACCUUUGUAAAACAAAAUCCACAAAAUUGUGCUCGAGUAAACAAUUAAACAAAAUGUGCACAUCAAUCACAAACUAGGGCCCCGUUGGGGCACUGGCGGGCCCGAGCCGUGUCACGCCGCCCCCAGCACGACCGCCUCCCCCACCCGAUCGCGUCACACUCAAGGUCCAAAGAUGGUGUGCGCACUUGUUUGUGGUCAUUUACCAUUAUAAUGAACGGGAGGCGCAGUUUCUACCAAAACGCUCGCUGCAGAAAAACUCCAUGUCCUAUUUGAAAAAAGUCUGGACCAUGA
Molecule: non-coding RNA, 5830 nt
Organism: Xyrichtys novacula (pearly razorfish)
Lineage: Eukaryota; Metazoa; Chordata; Actinopteri; Labriformes; Labridae
Source: the annotation of a GenBank genome assembly